GUUUCCUGAGAAUCUUGUGCAAGCCUGUUUUCAGCAGUAUAAGACACAGCGCAGAGAGAUCGAAGCAACUAAACCCAACAUAAACGCAACUAAUGCAACUGCAUUUCCACCAUUCACCACCAUUAUUUCAACUGUUGCACAGAAUUUGACCAAAGACUACAAGAUUGUGGGCUCAUAUUCAGAUGGCC
Long non-coding RNA from Danio aesculapii, 188 nucleotides. RefSeq lists it as uncharacterized. The transcript is spliced from 3 exons. The record is from RefSeq and is a predicted model, not a curated record. Lineage: Eukaryota; Metazoa; Chordata; Actinopteri; Cypriniformes; Danionidae.